This 68-nucleotide microRNA precursor is filed under the name Mus pahari (shrew mouse). Its description in RNAcentral is "microRNA 6899 (MGP_PahariEiJ_G0007474.1)". Lineage: Eukaryota; Metazoa; Chordata; Mammalia; Rodentia; Muridae. The record is from RNAcentral.
UGGGCAGCAGAACCCAGCAGACAUGAGAUCCUUCCUUGUUGACCAUGGUCCUUCUGUGUCUCCUGCAG